This 468-nucleotide ribosomal RNA is filed under the name uncultured bacterium. RNAcentral describes it as "partial 16S ribosomal RNA". It matches the Rfam family "Bacterial small subunit ribosomal RNA", at positions 28 to 507 of the family's 1533-position model. The record is from RNAcentral.
GACGAACGCUGGCGGCGUGCUUAACACAUGCAAGUCGAACGGAAAGGCCCUGCUUUUGUGGGGUGCUCGAGUGGCGAACGGGUGAGUAACACGUGAGUAACCUGCCCUUGACUUUGGGAUAACUUCAGGAAACUGGGGCUAAUACCGGAUAGGAGCUCCUGCUGCAUGGUGGGGGUUGGAAAGUUUCGGCGGUUGGGGAUGGACUCGCGGCUUAUCAGCUUGUUGGUUGGGUAGUGGCUUACCAAGGCUUUGACGGGUAGCCGGCCUGAGAGGGUGACCGGCCACAUUGGGACUGAGAUACGGCACAGACUCCUACGGGAGGCAGCAGUGGGGAAUAUUGCACAAUGGGAGGAAGCCUGAUGCAGCAACGCCGCGUGCGGGAUGACGGCCUUCGGGUUGUAAACCGCUUUCGCCUGUGACGAAGCGUGAGUGACGGUAAUGGGUAAAGAAGCACCGGCUAACUACGUG